GCCUGAGGCAGAGAAGACAACUUCUGGCGACAGCCCUGUUCUCACAAGGACCCACCCACAGGGCCUUCCUUCUUAGUGGACCCCAAGCCAAAUCUGGCAUCUGAGUUUGCAGCUGCCAAGGAGUGAGUUCUGUUGGCCUUGGUGACAAGCUGCUUUCUGAAAUGACGACUGAAAUGACAACGAAGAUUACUUUUCUGCAUCAACAGAUUCAGACUCUGCAUUUGUAGUCUGUACUUUCGGAAGAGACCCUCAAAUGAAUUAGCGGAGAGAGCUUUUUAGAAGGUUGCUACUUCUGAAAGAGCAGGAUGUGCCUUGCAUGCUGAAUAUUUCCAGCUCAAUGAAUAAAUCCUUCGCCUAUACUUCACUUCACUCUGUACUCCCAAGGAGGCCGGAUAUGAUUACUCAACUAAAGAUUAAAUCCAACGAAGAUUCCACAUCAAGAGAUCCCCUUCGCUUUUCUAGCGAUUUGUAGUUUUGUUUUGUUUUGUAUCAACUCUGACUCCACAUCUCUGUUUUACCUCAGGGUUACAGAGAAGUCAGGCAGGAAAGAUUUAGAAUUGAAGAGAGGCAUGGCUGGAAACACUGGAGGGAACGCCAUCGGUUCAGCUGGCUCUGCUCUGUCUGUUCCUGCCAUAACCAAAGCUGGUGAGAGACUGAGUGACAAUGAGACUCUGAACAGCGCUGUAGUAGCCUGGGGGCUGUGUCUUCAAAAUCUCAAACGUGUCACAGGCAGAGUUUGCUUGUGUUAUGACUUCUUCAGGGUACAGGGCACAGUCCUCAGGGUGCCGCCCCUUUGUCCUUCAGUGUGCCUUGUUCCUCUCCCUCCAGUUCUGAUGGGACAGUAAAUGCCAGUGCGAAGGGCCGACACGUGAUGCUCUCUGGCCACCCUUGGUAUUUUCUGACCAUGGAGAAUAAACAGAAGAACUAAGUAAAACCAA
Peromyscus eremicus (cactus mouse) is the source of this 938-nucleotide long non-coding RNA. RefSeq lists it as uncharacterized. The transcript has 2 exons. The record is from RefSeq and is a predicted model, not a curated record. NCBI's taxonomy places the organism in Eukaryota, Metazoa, Chordata, Mammalia, Rodentia, Cricetidae.